CUCAUUUAAGGGCUGACUGCUGCUCUAGAAGGUUCUCUGGUUGGUGAUCCCUUCUGUGUGGUGUUUUCCUUACAAGCCUAGAUCUUCAGAGACAGCAGUAGUGGAGGUCUGCAUGAGAAGUUGUGCAACAACUCUAUCUGGAAAGUGGAGAUCCUUCUAUGAUGGCAUGUCUUGUGGUACCUCACUGCAGUCACCCUGGAGAUUUGUUAGAACAUUGCAUGCUGUCCAUUUUAUAGUAAAACUCAACUAGAUCUUUUUUUCAUUUAAAAUACGAGGUUUUUGAUAAUGAUUGUGAUGAUCUGAGGAUCUCUCUUGGUUCUUCAGCUGCAAGUUAGACACCAGUAUUGUAAGGAGGGUUUCCCAGACCUUUCCUCUCUUUUCCAGAUGGGAUGUCAAGAAGUGAUUGCUCCUGUUGGUUAUUUAUUAUGAGGAGUAGACAUCGUGUAAAGCACUGGUUUUACCUUACAUUACCUUAUUUACCUUAUAGGCAGUGCUGCAGCCUUAAAGAUGACAGGCUGCAGACUGUUCAUGUCAGAUGCAAUGUACUGUGUAAAAAUCUGGAGUACCCUUCUAAAACAGUGUUUCAGAAAAAAUUGCUUGAGCAGUGAGUCACAGCAGACUCUUUUCAGUACCUCUGGACAGACAGAGGUCAGCAAGUCUAAACUUAGCUGCAGCCAGAAUCUCUCCUUAGCUGCUGCUUAAGUGAGUAGUGGUCUUGCAUUUUAGUGUUGAAAUUAAUGCAAAGAGCUCAAAAGCUGCAUCUUUCAAUGUCAGUCAAAGAGUAAUGAUGUUACACAACACUUCCUUGUAAGAUUUGGGAACAUUCAGUGUUAAUAAGAGGAGGAUGAAUCUGAAAAAGCUUUCAAAAACUUAUAGAAAUAUCCAACUCUUCAUUAUAUGAUGGAAAUCUCUGAAGAAUUUGCCCAUACCUUAUUCAUAAAUAAAAGUUAAAUAGUGAUGUUAGAAUUGUAUGACAUAGUUUCUGAAACAAGACUGCUUUAGGUCUUUAUAUAAUUGUUAGGAAGUUUUAGCUAAAUAGAUCUUGAUCAAAAUUGGCUGUAACGGAAGUACAGAAGGGGGACCCCGUGCUCUUAUAUUGUCUUUGCAUGGGUUUCUUGCUUCUUGGUGGUGUAGAAUCUUACUAUGAUUUCAGAUGUUUUUGUCUUGGUGGCAAAAAGUGAGCCCUAAACAGACAUGUCUCCCUGUCUUGGUGGUUGUUGCUAACUAUGAACUUCAUCAAUAAUUCACUGAAGUUAAUCAAAGGACUCCUUGUCUCAGUGAUCUUAGAAGCAGACUCUGCAAAAGGAUAUUUCUCUUAUUUGUGAGGCCAGACAAUAAGGGAGUGAGUAAUUCCUCCACUCAAAGAAUGAUCAAGUAGUAUUUUUUUACACUGCAAUAGAUACAAGUCAUAGUCCUGACUUAUAAUAGGAGGAGAGCAUCACAUAUUAUGUGCAUUUCUCCUCUGUAGGAAACAUUGUCUUAAUCUGUAGAUGUCAGUCAGGAAGUCCUGAUGGAUAUGAUUCUUGACAGAAAGGAGCAACAGAGGGUGAGAUGAGUGAGGAGACCAGAGGGACAAAUCUUACUAUGAGCAUCCUUGAUUAGGGCUCAGAGCUGGAUUUCUUGAGAAAGAUCAUAUUGAGUAAUUGCUUAGUAAACUUAACUGUAGAUUGUACAAUAAAAACUCACAUCAUUUCAGCUGAAAUGUACGUAAAAGUAUUUCAAAUUUGGACAAAAUUGUGCUUUAUGUGCAUGUUUAUUUAAAAAAGCAACUAAGCAACCAUUUAAAAAAUAACUUUGAAAAAUA
Molecule: long non-coding RNA, 1804 nt
Organism: Gallus gallus (chicken)
Lineage: Eukaryota; Metazoa; Chordata; Aves; Galliformes; Phasianidae
Source: Ensembl